This 466-nucleotide ribosomal RNA is filed under the name uncultured bacterium. Its description in RNAcentral is "partial 16S ribosomal RNA". It matches the Rfam family "Bacterial small subunit ribosomal RNA", at positions 28 to 505 of the family's 1533-position model. The record is from RNAcentral.
GACGAACGCUGGCGGCGUGCUUAACACAUGCAAGUCGAACGGAAAGGCCCUGCUUUUGUGGGGUGCUCGAGUGGCGAACGGGUGAGUAACACGUGAGUAACCUGCCCUUGACUUUGGGAUAACUUCAGGAAACUGGGGCUAAUACCGGAUAGGAGCUCCUGCUGCAUGGUGGGGGUUGGAAAGUUUCGGCGGUUGGGGAUGGGCUCGCGGAUUAUCAGCUUGUUGGUGGGGUAGUGGCCUACCAAGGCUUUGACGGGUAGCCGGCCUGAGAGGGUGACCGGCAACAUUGGGACUGAGAAACGGCCUAGACUCCUACGGGAGGCAGGAGGGGGGAAUAAUGCAGCAUGGGCGGAAGGCUGAUGAAGCCACGCCGCGUGCGGAAUGACGGGCUUCGGGUUGUAAACCGCUUUCGCCUGUGACGAAGCGUGAGUGACGGUAAUGGGUAAAGAAGCACCGGCUAACUACG